This 419-nucleotide ribosomal RNA is filed under the name bacterium. Its description in RNAcentral is "partial 16S ribosomal RNA". It matches the Rfam family "Bacterial small subunit ribosomal RNA", at positions 355 to 776 of the family's 1533-position model. The record is from RNAcentral.
UGGGGGAUAUUGCACAAUGGGCGAAAGCCUGAUGCAGCGACGCCGCGUGGGGGAUGAAGGCCUUCGGGUUGUAAACUUCUUUUGCUCUGAACAAGGCAUGCUAAUGGGUGUGUUGAGUGUAGGGGUUGAUUAGCGCCGGCUAACUACGUUCCAGCAGCCGCGGUAAUACGUAGGGCGCGAGCGUUGUCCGGAAUUAUUGGGCGUAAAGGGCUUGUAGGUGGCUGGUUGCGUCUGUCGUGAAAGGUCAUGGCUUAACUGUGGGUUUGCGGUGGGUACGGGCUGGCUUGAGUGCAGUAGGGGAGGCUGGAAUUCCUGGUGUAGCGGUGGAAUGCGCAGAUAUCAGGAGGAAUACCGGUGGCGAAGGCGGGUCUCUAGGCUGUUACUGACACUGAGGAGCGAAAGCAUGGGGAGCGAACAGG